UUGCUUUGGUAGCACAUGUAGUAAAAUUGGAACGAUACAGAGAAGAUUAGCAUGGUCGCUGCACAAGGAUGACACACAAAUUCGUGAAGUGUUCCAUACUUUU
This 103-nucleotide small nuclear RNA is filed under the name Pteropus alecto (black flying fox). Lineage: Eukaryota; Metazoa; Chordata; Mammalia; Chiroptera; Pteropodidae. The record is from RNAcentral.